GUCCGGGUGGCGGAAUAGGCAGACGCGCUAGCUUGAGGUGCUAGUGCCCUUUAUCGGGCAUGGGGGUUCAAGUCCCCCCUCGGACA
This 86-nucleotide transfer RNA is filed under the name Kineosporia rhizophila. RNAcentral's name for it is "tRNA-Leu". It matches the Rfam family "tRNA". Rfam says of the family: Transfer RNA (tRNA) molecules are approximately 80 nucleotides in length. Their secondary structure includes four short double-helical elements and three loops (D, anti-codon, and T loops). The record is from RNAcentral. Lineage: Bacteria; Bacillati; Actinomycetota; Actinomycetes; Kineosporiales; Kineosporiaceae. RNAcentral also lists the same sequence under 3 other names.